Molecule: unclassified non-coding RNA, 1777 nt
Filed under: Hevea brasiliensis (rubber tree)
Lineage: Eukaryota; Viridiplantae; Streptophyta; Magnoliopsida; Malpighiales; Euphorbiaceae
Source: RNAcentral
AAUGAACUCAUCUGAAGAUCCCUUCACAUAGUUAGGAAUUUGAAAUUAUAAAUCUAUUAGUUCUUCAUUAUUUGUCUUUGCUACGACACCCGCCAAUCCACCUUUCGUGACAAAGUUGAGCAAAAUCACAGUAACCAUGCUUGAUAAGGAAUAUCAUAUAAUAUAGUUCUGAUGAGCCAAACAACUCAAGAUUUUUCAAAAUAAUGUAGAGAUUCCAGUACAGAAGUAAUUAUAGUGAAUGAUGGCGGCAUGCAAAAUCAUUGAAACGACAAUAUGAACAUGAGAACAAAAAGAAGUACCCUGUAAUAAGAAAUGUUGUUAGGCAAGGGCCAGAGAUGCAAACCAAAAGGGAAAAAUUAUACAGCAUGAGUAAGCAUAAGAAUGCUGCACCCACCCAACCAAAAGGGCAAAAUUACACAAUGAGUACACAUUGAAAGGGCAUUAAAAAAUGAAACAAUUAACUAGAGAAUGGUUGUAGGAGUGAAGCAGUUCUCUUUUCCAUAGGAAUUUGUUCCUUUGAUAACUUCCUAGUUCUAUAUCAAGGAGAUUUGACAUUUGACAUUUCCAAUCAAAGAAUGGUGCACCUAGCCAAAUCUCUAAACUUCUUAAGCCCACACCCACCAACCCUUUUGUUCUGUGAAAGCAAACAGAGAGCAAUUCCAAUUUUAUAUGCAAUUCACAAUUAAGGUUUUCAAACUCAAUUCUAUCUUUUUUUGAAUGGGCCCAAUUCUAUCUUAUACUUUGAAUGACCAUUAUCACAAAUGAAAGUCAGCAAUGACUCCUAUCUUGUUCUUCAAUUUUGAUUUUCAAAAUACUUCAGAAUAACACGAUAUUAGUGACAGCUUAGUACUUUUUCAACCAUGCCAAAGUGACAAGGUUUUUUUUUUUACCGUAUAACCAAUAAAAAAUUUCAAAUAUUCUGAAGUCUUUCACUAAGGAAAGAUGUGCUGAAAGGUUGAAUUAUAAAAAAAGAGGACUCUUUUUUUCUUUCUUUUCCAAACAAAAAGAUGUGAUUUCCGUUUACCAGCCAAAUUUGCAUAAAAAAUAUUACAAGAGACAAGGUCGUUAAUCUUCAGAGGAAACCUCCAUUCACGAUAGGAAGGUAUCUUGGGAAGAAACAAAGUUUGCAAGAGCAUGUACUACCCUAUCACAAAUACUUUUUCUUUUUUUGAGGGAACACUAUUACAGUUACUUGAAAGGACCAAGUUAACAUACAAAAUUACACAGCAAGAGUUACAACGGUUCUUGUCAUUCUAUUAACAACUAGAUACACAUAAAUUUUACCCUCAUUUCGACAGUUAAGCACAUGAGGAAGAGAAACCCAAUCAUUUUCUUGUUAAUUCUCGUAACAACUUAUAGGGUAUAAUUUUGUAGAGGUUAAAAGCCAUCCAAAGUUUAGAAAAUGGUCAGAAUAUGUACAAAUAAUUGACUUUACAAAUUAAUACCCAAAACAAAAUUUGAGCCAAGCACAUUUUUAUUCUCAAAGCUAGAGAACUGCAAGUUCAACACAAUAAUUUUUCAGUCAUGUCAUCCUUGUCGACUAAAUAAAAAGAUGAUUAUCGCUACUAACAAAAUUGCAAGCUCAGAUAACCAAACGGGUAUCUCUUCAAAACGUGAAAGAAUCAAAAUAGUGAAAGCCAAAAAUUCAAAAGUGAGAGGAAAUGGAAGUUACGAGAAAUCAAUUUCCAAGCGGAUUUUGCCAUCCUGUAGAGCGUAAGAGAGAGAAUUGGCAGCAUCAGUGACGAGCACUUCAUAGGACUUGGGCUUGUAAACUGCG